Molecule: ribosomal RNA, 253 nt
Filed under: uncultured bacterium
Lineage: Bacteria
Description: partial 16S ribosomal RNA
Rfam family: Bacterial small subunit ribosomal RNA
Source: RNAcentral
UACAGAGGUCCCGAGCGUUGUUCGGAUUCACUGGGCGUAAAGGGUGCGUAGGUGGUCAGGUAAGUCUGAUGUGAAAUCUCUGAGCUCAACUCAGAAAUGGCAUUGGAUACUAUCUGGCUAGAGGGUCGGAGGGGGGACUGGAAUUCUCGGUGUAGCAGUGAAAUGCGUAGAUAUCGAGAGGAACACCAGUGGCGAAGGCGAGUCCCUGGACGACUCCUGACACUGAGGCACGAAAGCUAGGGGAGCAAACAGG